GCCGGACCCGACUGCUAUCGGAUUGGGACUAAGCCAUGCGAGUCAACUCCGCAAGGGGUGGCGCACGGCUCAGUAACACGUAGUCAACCUACCCUAGGGACGGGGAUAACCUCGGGAAACUGAGGCUAAACCCCGAUAGGCUAUAGCCUCUGGAAUGAGCUAUAGCUGAAAUCUAUAUGGCCCUAGGAUGGGACUGCGGCCGAUCAGGUAGUUGGUGGGGUAAUGGCCCACCAAGCCUAUAACCGGUGCGGGCUCUGAGAGGAGGAGCCCGGAGAUGGGCACUGAGACAAGGGCCCAGGUCCUAUGGGGCGCAGCAGGCGCGAAACCUCCGCAAUGGGCGAAAGCCCGACGGGGUCAGUCCGAGUGGUUCCCGCUGAGGGAACCUUUUGCCAGCUGUAAACAGGCUGGCGAAUAAGGGGUGGGCAAGUUUGGUGUCAGCCGCCGCGGUAAUACCAGCACCCCGAGUGGUCGGGACGAUUAUUGGGCCUAAAGCAUCCGUAGCCGGCUUAGCAAGUCCUCCGUUAAAUCCAACGGCUUAACCGUUGGGCUGCGGAGGAUACUGCUAAGCUAGGGGGCGGGAGAGGCGAGGGGUAUUCCCAGGGUAGGGGUAAAAUCCGUUGAUCCUGGGAGGACCACCAGUGGCGAAGGCGCCUCGCUAGAACGCGCCCGACGGUGAGGGAUGAAAGCUGGGGGAGCGAA
Molecule: ribosomal RNA, 699 nt
Filed under: uncultured archaeon
Lineage: Archaea
Description: bacterial SSU rRNA
Rfam family: Archaeal small subunit ribosomal RNA
Source: RNAcentral